GACGAACGCUGGCGGCGUGCUUAACACAUGCAAGUCGAACGGAAAGGCCCUGCUUUUGUGGGGUGCUCGAGUGGCGAACGGGUGAGUAACACGUGAGUAACCUGCCCUUGACUUUGGGAUAACUUCAGGAAACUGGGGCUAAUACCGGAUAGGAGCUCCUGCUGCAUGGUGGGGGUUGGAAAGUUUCGGCGGUUGGGGAUGGACUCGCGGCUUAUCAGCUUGUUGGUGGGGUAGUGGCUUACCAAGGCUUUGACGGGUAGCCGGCCUGAGAGGGUGACCGGCCACAUUGGGACAGAGAUACGGCCCAGACUCCUACGGGAGGCAGCAGUGGGGAAUAUUGCACAAUGGGCGGAAGCCUGAUGCAGCAACGCCGCGUGCGGGAUGACGGCCUUCGGGUGGUAAACCGCUUUCGCCUGUGACGAAGCGUGAGUGACGGUAAUGGGUAAAGAAGCACCGGCUAACUACGUG
This 468-nucleotide ribosomal RNA is filed under the name uncultured bacterium. Its description in RNAcentral is "partial 16S ribosomal RNA". It matches the Rfam family "Bacterial small subunit ribosomal RNA", at positions 28 to 507 of the family's 1533-position model. The record is from RNAcentral.